Astyanax mexicanus (Mexican tetra) is the source of this 2401-nucleotide long non-coding RNA. RefSeq lists it as uncharacterized. The transcript is spliced from 3 exons. The record is from RefSeq and is a predicted model, not a curated record. NCBI's taxonomy places the organism in Eukaryota, Metazoa, Chordata, Actinopteri, Characiformes, Acestrorhamphidae.
CCUCAAAUAAUGCAAAAAUCAAUAUUUGGUGGAAUAAUCCUGUUUUUUAAUCACAGUUUUGUUCAUGCAUCUUGGCAUCAUGUUCUCCUCCACCAGUCUUACACACUGCUUUUGGAUAACUUUAUGCUUUACACUCCUGGUGUAAAAUUCAAGCAGUUCAGUUUGGUGGUUUGAUGGUUUGUGAUCAUCCAUCUUCCUCUUGAUUAUAUUCCAGAAGUUUAUAAUUCAGUAAAAUCAAAGAAACUCAUCAUUUUUAAGUGCUCUCUUAUUUUUUUUCUAGAGCUGUAUCAAUGACCCUCUGUAAAGACAUGAGGAAGGUCUAAAUACAGUUAUAUGUAGCCAGUUAGCGUAUUUGCUAAUUACUAACUCUAACUCUGGAGUGUUUAACAUCCAUUCUCUCUUUUUUGUUUUUAACUUUGUUUAUAUGGACAAAAAUAAGAUAUAAAACAUCUCGGUUCACAUAUGGACAGAAAAAAUAUCUAUUAUAGAAUUGUGGCAAACCAUGGAUUUAAAAGUAUCACUUAAAUCUUCAAGUUAGAGCUGGACAAUUUGAACAAAACAAAAGUUACAGAAACAGUGUCUAUAAUGAAUGUCUUUACCUACAAACGUUUCAUGUAAUGCACCCUGUAAGGAACAUCAUUCAGUAAUAUAAACUGUAAAUUACCUUAUUAUUAUAGUAUAGUAUAGUAGAAUAUAUACUAUAUAUUGUAUAGAUUACUGUUUAUACUGUGUAUAUAUACAGUACCAAUAAAAAGUAAAAUGUUCUGUAUUGUAGAUUAAUACUACACUCAUCCAAACUCUAAAGAAAGACAUAUGGAAUUAUUUAGAAUAUGUUUUAUAUUGUUUAGAUGAUCAGUUUUGAACAUCUCUGCUGGAUUUUCUCAGUCAGUUUUAUGAGGUAGAGUCCAGGCUUUCAGUUAACAGCUGUGCUGAACUCAUCAAGAGUUAAUUACUUGAAUUUCUUGUCUCUUAAUAAAGUGUUUGAGAGCAUCAGUUAAAGUAAAGUAGUGAAGAGGUAGAGUUACAGGUAUACAGUGAAUUCUAAUCCAGAUUAUAAGAAGCAAGAACUACUCAACUAAGUAAAGAAAAAAAAUACUUAAAGAAAGAAUUUCAAGAACUUUUAUCCUCAAGUGCAGUCACAAUAAAGGCAACCCUACUCCAGGAAAUUUAAACUUAAUCCCAGAAAGGUCACCAUUUCUAAUCUUCGUCCAAAAGCACAUCAAUAUUGAUCGUCUGCUGUGUUUUAGAAGAGGCAGAAAAGGUUUUAACUGGAGUUGAAGUAGAUUCAGAGUUUCGUUAUUCUGAUAAUCCCAUGACCUGGCAAGGUUUUUGGUUUUUCACACUCCACCUUUGCCUUUCAUUUCCCUUUUCUGCUUUUAAAAGGCAGGAGUUCAGUGUUAUUUAGCACUCAAAACAGCUCACAGCAGCUUUAGUAAAAUAUCCUAUAUACUGAUAGAAAGCACCCAUAAAUGCUAGACUAGUACUGUCUGUGUGUUUAUUAUAUUAAAGGUGAGGUGCUAGACUAGUACUGUCUGUGUUUAUUAUUAUUAUUAUAUUAAAGGUGAGGUGCUAGACUAGUACUGUCUGUGUGUUUAUUAUGUUAAAGGUGAGGUGCUAGACUAGUACUGUCUGUGUGUUUAUUAUUAUAUUAAAGGUGAGGUGCUAGUCUAGUACUGUCUGUGUUUAUUAUGUUAAAGGUGAGGUGCUAGACUAGUACUGUGUGUGUGUGUUUAUUAUUAUAUUAAAGGUGAGGUGCUAGACUAGUACUGUCUGUGUUUAUUAUUAUUAUAUUAAAGGUGAGGUGCUAGACUAGUACUGUCUGUGUGUUUAUUAUAUUAAAGGUGAGGUGCUAGACUAGUACUGUCUGUGUGUUUAUUAUAUUAAAGGGGAGGUGCUAGACUAGUACUGUCUGUGUGUUUAUUAUUAUAUUAAAGGUGAGGUGCUAGACUAGUACUGUCUGUGUGUUUAUUAUAUUAAAGGGGAGGUGCUAGACUAGUACUGUGUGUGUUUAUUAUUAUAUUAAAGGUGAGGUGCUAGACUAGUACUGUCUGUGUGUUUAUUAUAUUAAAGGGGAGGUGCUAGACUAGUACUGUCUGUGUUUAUAUUGAAGCUGAGGUGCUCAACUAGUACUGUCUGUGUUUAUAUUGAAGCUGAGGUGCUCGACUAGUAUUGUGUGUGUGUGUGUUUGUUAUUAUAUUAAAGGUGAGGUGCUAGACUAGUACUGUCUGUGUGUUUAUUAUAUUAAAGGUGAGGUGCUAGACUAGUACUGUGUGUGUGUUUAUUAUAUUAAAGGGGAGGUGCUAGACUAGUACUGUCUGUGUUUAUAUUGAAGCUGAGGUGCUCGACUAGUACUGUCUGUGUUUAUUAUGUUAAAGGUGAGGUGCUAGACUAGUAUUGUGUG